GACAGAGGAUGCAAACGUUGCUCGGAAUUACUGGGCGUAAAGCGCACGUAGGUGGACUUUCAAGUCAGGGGUGAAAUCCCGGGGCUCAACCUCGGAACUGCCUUUGAUACUGUUGGUCUUGAGUCCGGAAGAGGUGAGUGGAAUUCCUAGUGUAGAGGUGAAAUUCGUAGAUAUUAGGAAGAACACCGGUGGCGAAGGCGGCUCACUGGUCCGGUACUGACACUGAGGUGCGAAAGCGUGGGGAGCAAACAGG
RNAcentral lists this ribosomal RNA (253 nucleotides) under uncultured bacterium. RNAcentral describes it as "partial 16S ribosomal RNA". It matches the Rfam family "Bacterial small subunit ribosomal RNA", at positions 524 to 776 of the family's 1533-position model. The record is from RNAcentral.